GGGGAUGACGGGUUUCGACAGACAAGCUGUUGAAAGGAUUGCAGGCCGAGGUGCCGGUGUGCUCUCUCGUUAAACAACCGGCGAAAAAAUAACUGCCAACAAGGCAAAUUACUCCUACGCUCUCGCCGCUUAAUUAGGCGAGCGUCGUCCCUCUGACUUUCGCCUGUGGGGUCAGAUGUGGGCGCCGACGACACGGGCUGCGGUGCUGGUGAUCGCCCUCUAACCGGCAUCUAAGACCAGAGGGCCAGCGCUGAGGAAUCCUGUCGGUGGGAGUCCUCUGCGCAUAGCAAUACACCGACUAAGCCUGUAGGAUAUCCUUUAACAGGGUUGCCUGGACGGGGAGUUCAACUCUCCCCCAUCUCCACCA
RNAcentral lists this transfer-messenger RNA (367 nucleotides) under Thermogemmatispora aurantia. Its description in RNAcentral is "Standard tmRNA". It matches the Rfam family "transfer-messenger RNA". From Rfam's summary of the family: Bacterial tmRNA, also known as 10Sa RNA or SsrA, is named for its dual tRNA and mRNA-like properties. Its role is to liberate the mRNA from a stalled ribosome. The record is from RNAcentral. Lineage: Bacteria; Bacillati; Chloroflexota; Ktedonobacteria; Thermogemmatisporales; Thermogemmatisporaceae.